RNAcentral lists this ribosomal RNA (200 nucleotides) under uncultured bacterium. RNAcentral's name for it is "partial 16S ribosomal RNA". It matches the Rfam family "Bacterial small subunit ribosomal RNA", at positions 8 to 208 of the family's 1533-position model. The record is from RNAcentral.
AGAGUUUGAUCCUGGCUCAGGACGAACGCUGGCGGCGUGCUUAACACAUGCAAGUCGAGCGGAAAGGCCCUUUCGGGGGUACUCGAGCGGCGAACGGGUGAGUAACACGUGAGUAACCUGCCCUUGACUUUGGGAUAACCCUCGGAAACGGGGGCUAAUACUGGGUAUGACCUGGCCGGGCAUCCGGCUGGGUGGAAAGC